AUACGUAGGGUGCGAGCGUUGUCCGGAAUUACUGGGCGUAAAGAGCUCGUAGGUGGUUUGUCGCGUCGUCUGUGAAAUUCCGGGGCUUAACUCCGGGCGUGCAGGCGAUACGGGCAUAACUUGAGUACUGUAGGGGAGACUGGAAUUCCUGGUGUAGCGGUGAAAUGCGCAGAUAUCAGGAGGGACACCGGUGGCGAAGGCGGGUCUCUGGGCAGUAACUGACGCUGAGGAGCGAAAGCAUGGGUAGCGAACAGGAUUAGAUACCCUGGUAGUCCAUGCCGUAAACGGUGGGCGCUAGGUGUAGGGGUCUUCCACGACUUCUGUGCCGUAGCUAACGCAUUAAGCGCCCCGCCUGGGGAGUACGGCCGCAAGGCUAAAACUCAAAUGAAUUGACGGGG
RNAcentral lists this ribosomal RNA (398 nucleotides) under uncultured bacterium. RNAcentral describes it as "partial 16S ribosomal RNA". It matches the Rfam family "Bacterial small subunit ribosomal RNA", at positions 523 to 918 of the family's 1533-position model. The record is from RNAcentral.